This 555-nucleotide ribosomal RNA is filed under the name uncultured Oceanospirillaceae bacterium. RNAcentral's name for it is "bacterial SSU rRNA". It matches the Rfam family "Bacterial small subunit ribosomal RNA", at positions 56 to 601 of the family's 1533-position model. The record is from RNAcentral. Lineage: Bacteria; Pseudomonadati; Pseudomonadota; Gammaproteobacteria; Oceanospirillales; Oceanospirillaceae.
UGCAGUCGAGCGGUAACAUUUCUAGCUUGCUAGAAGAUGACGAGCGGCGGACGGGUGAGUAACGCGUAGGAAUCUGCCUAGUAGAGGGGGACAACAUGUGGAAACGCAUGCUAAUACCGCAUACGCCCUUAGGGGGAAAGGAGGGGACUUUUCGGAGCCUUCCGCUAUUAGAUGAGCCUGCGUAAGAUUAGCUAGUUGGUGGGGUAAAGGCUCACCAAGGCGACGAUCUUUAACUGGUCUGAGAGGAUGACCAGUCACACUGGGACUGAGACACGGCCCAGACUCCUACGGGAGGCAGCAGUGGGGAAUAUUGGACAAUGGGCGAAAGCCUGAUCCAGCCAUGCCGCGUGUGUGAAGAAGGCCUUAGGGUUGUAAAGCACUUUCAGGAGUGAGGAAGGGUGCUUGGUUAAUACCCAAGUAUUUUGACGUUAGCUCCAGAAGAAGCACCGGCUAACUCUGUGCCAGCAGCCGCGGUAAUACAGAGGGUGCAAGCGUUAAUCGGAAUUACUGGGCGUAAAGCGCGCGUAGGUGGUUUGUUAAGUCUGAUGUGAAAUC